Molecule: unclassified non-coding RNA, 4955 nt
Filed under: Polistes canadensis
Lineage: Eukaryota; Metazoa; Arthropoda; Insecta; Hymenoptera; Vespidae
Description: aTPase family AAA domain-containing protein 5, transcript variant X3
Source: RNAcentral
AUUUCAUUUGUUUAUUUAUAAAAUCACACGUACUUAAAUCAAACUUAAGAACAUCACCGCCGCCCUUGUGGAUAAUUAUCGUACUCUACAUUCACUCAUUUUCAACAACACAAAUUCGACGUAAACGCCCAUCUCGAUCGUCCUUUUUGUAUAUAGCUCCAUUGCUCGACUAAUCAACAAAGGUAAAAUGUUGUUUACAAUCUAUUUUUUAAAUCUAUUUCUACGAUUCAUUGGAUAAUACAAAAAAUGUUAUUGUAAAUUGUCUUCGGUGAAAAUGUAGAUGCAAGCGCUCUCUACAUAGAAAUAAACAUAGCAAUUAAAAUUGUUAGCGCAUUUUGCCGCCAAAAAGUUGUAGAUGUUGCGCGCCCUAAGUUCUAAUUAAUAUUAUUUAUAAUUAUUUGGAUAGUAAAUUUGUAAAUAUGUUCUCGACGAUGAAGGAUCUUACUCAUUAUUUUCAAGACAAUGUCAAAUCCCGUGAACCAUGCCCAAAUACGUCUGAAUUAAAUAAUAUAUAUAAAUUAAAGGAUGGAUCAGAAUAUUCUUGUAGAAAAAAACGUACUCGUGUCAAAAUCAAGAUAUCUCGUAGAAAUUCGAGUAGCAGGGUAUGCAAUAUCGUUGAGAAUAAAAAUGAUUUAAUCGAUAAAACUCCAAGUCCAUUUUCUAAAUCGUUGGGAAAAAAAGAAAGAGCUGCAAGCAGUGAAAGAUCGACAAGAGAGGUUAAGGAGAAAGAAAAUAAAGAUAGUAUUGGAAAAACGAAAGAAGAAAUACUUCCAAAAGUUAAUAUUAAUUAUAUAUUAAUAGAAUCGGAUAGCGAUACUGAAGCGUUAGAAAGCGAGAUAAAUGGUAAGUUUUCUUUAUCUACAGACAAACAAAAUUCAAUGCAAUCUCAAAUGGAAUGUAGUAUAGAAAAUUAUAAUGGAUUCAAAUGUAAUACUGCACCUAGAAGCAAUAAUCAAAUUAAUAAAGAAACAAUUCAAGCAGGUAUCGUUUAUGAGCCUAUUAAUGAACAUAAACAAUCUAAUGCAUUUCAAGUUCUUAUGAAUCCAAAUAAAUCAAUAGACAAUAUUUCAUUGGUGCACCCUUCGUUGAAAAAUGAUACUUCCUCCGAAUCAAAAUUAUUACUUAUGAAAGACAUAAAAAGUCAUUCAAAGAGAAAACUUACCAAUACAGAAGAUGAUAAGAAAAUAGAAGAAAUUCCAGAAAAACGUUUGAAACGAUUUAAAGAAAAUGCUAAGAAAGAUAAUUAUCCUACAACAAAUAAUUUAUUAAAUUUUCUCAGCAAAUCGGCAAUAGGACUAGAAAAAAAAGAUAAAAUAGAAGUUAACACGUCUACUAUAGUUGUAGAAGCCGAUGUACAUAUGUCAGAAGAACCUAUGGUAAAUUCAUUAACUAACGUAGCAAAAACUAAAUCAGAUUCUGUAUACAAGAAAAUGGGCAAUAAAAAUAUUCAAUCAGAAUAUUCGAACAUACAAACGGAAUAUUCAAAUGUAGAUAAAAUAGAUUUAAUAAAAUUGGAAGAAAUGAAACAAAAUUUAUGCGUAGAGGAAAAUCCACGAUUGUUGCAACGUGAUAAACCUAAAUGGUCUUUAAGAAUUAAAAUGCUAUCUCCAAAAAGUAAGGAAUCUUCAUCCGAUAGCGACGAAGAAAUGUUAUAUUCUCCGAUAAGUAAAAUCAAAUGUAAGAUGAAAGAUAAAAAACUAUCUAAAACAUCAAGUAAUAAUAUCAACGAGUGUGCAAGAUUAUCUUUAAAAAUAAAUGGUCAAGAAAAUAAUUCUGACAAGCUGACUACUUCUCUUAACCAUGCAACGCAAAAUGAUUUUACUGACGAUAUUAUUGUCGAAAAAGAAAUCAAAAAAUUAACAUGCAUAAACGAAUAUAGAAAUUUUAAUGAGAACUAUAUUAAUACAAAUACGAAGGAAAUUUCCAAGAAUUCGCAAAUUAUAGAUAGUAAUACUUUAAAAAGAGAACCUCAUAAAAAACUAGCGCCUCUUUUUACGAGACAAUCUAAGCCAAACGUUGUAACCGAGGCUGCAAAACGUUCAUUUUUUAAAUCGGAUACGAUUAAUAAUAGUAGUAAACAUGUGGAGAAAAAAGUACCUACUUGCAAUUUGACUUACUUUCCUUUUCCAAAAAUUAGUCAUAUCAAGCAAUUGAAUAAUAAAAUUCAAACUAACGACGAAUUACAUACGCAUAAAAUUCGAAUAAAACCAAAUAUGAAAUAUAUACCAAUGAUAUAUAAUGGUGAUAAUUAUAAAUAUAUUUCUCAAUCUCUUGAAUCAUUAAGUAAAUCUCAAAUAACUAUAAAUGCAUCGAUUGAACAAAAUACAGAGGAAGUAUUGGCAGAAAUAGAAAAGCAUUGCUCAGAUACUAGAAAUAUAUGGGAAACUAUUAAUUCUAUAGCAAAGAAUAAAUUUAACGUGGUACAAUCAGACAAAUCAAAAAGUAAGAGAACAAAAAAAGAUAUAACGAAAGAAUGCGAUAAAAAGCUGAUUGUAAACAAUAUUUGGACACAAAAAUAUAAACCGACUAAUAGUUGUCAAAUAGUUGGAAACGAAAAUGCUGCAAUAAAGCUAAGAGAUUGGCUAAGUCGCUGGAAAUUGUCUGUACAUAAAGAAGCUAGUAGCAGCGGGGAUGAAUUUUAUUCAUCAGAUUGUAGUUUUACGGGCAAACAGAAAAAUAAUCAAGUAGCUGUAUUAUUGGGGCCCCAUGGAAGUGGUAAAACUGCUGCUGUUUACGCCGUUACGGAAGAGCUUGGUUAUAGCGUAUUGGAAGUCAAUGCUUCGUCUAGAAGAACGGGAAAAAAAAUUUUUAAGGAACUCGACGAAGCAACUAAAUCACACCGAAUUAAAAAGAACGGAAGCAAAUCGUUAUUUAAGCCAAUUUUGAAAGAGGCAAAUAAUUCAUCACAAAAUUCCUUAAUUCUUUUAGAAGAUAUUGACUUAAUAUUUGAAGAAGAUGAAGGGUUUAUUUCUGCUAUAUCCCAAUUGGUGUCCAACACGAAACGUCCUAUUGUAAUGACGUGCAAAGAUGUUUGCCCUCAUUUAAAUAAAAUGGCUCCCGAACAAAAUCGAAUUUAUUUCCAAAAAGUAGUUGGUAAUAGAGCAUCAACUUUACUAAAAUUAAUUUCGUUAGCAGAAACAGGCUUUAAAAUUUCGUGCGAAUGUUUAGCAGAACUUCUACAGAAUGGGGAUUUAAGAAAAGCUUUACUGCAAUUGCAGUAUCUGCUAGUCUCGGGUUUCGCGCAUGUAAGUAAAUAUCCUUUUAAUUCGAGAAACUUUGUUUGGCAAGAUAUGAAGUAUUAUCUAUACCAGCCGGCUAUAAAAGAAACGAAAAAACAAAAAGCGAAAGGCUACGUAAAGAAUAAUAAUAGAAAUAUAUUAAAUAAUUUAGCCAGUCAGUUAGAUUAUUUAUCGUUGCUAUCAUCCUUAAUUGAGAUUAAUGAUCCUGCGCUCGAUAUAGUAUGUACCAAACCGCAGUCCAGUUUAUCUCUAAUGGAAGACACAACGCCAUACUCUGUUUCACAAAGUAUAAGUUCAGAAAUAGGAGAAUGGAUUAGUCGAAAGAUAAUUAAAGAAAAUCACUUAAUUGGUAAAAAUAGAAUCCCAUAUCAAGGCAGAUUAAGCCUAAAAAAGCAAUUAAAUGAAGGAGUCGAUAGUGCUUUAUCGCAAAUUACGUCUCAUACUUUAGACAAUCGAUGUAUUUCCUUAGAUUACUUACCAUGCGUUAGAACGAUAUGUAGAACAGAAGAAUAUCGAAUUGCGGCAAACAUUAAGAGAGGUAAUAGAUUUUUUCACUAUCUUAGUGGCUUCAAAUUGCCAGCUUCGUCGACAAAGCCUAAUAUUUUAUCGGCCGCGUGUAAAAUGCUACAAGAGAAAUCAUGAUACGAUAUCUCCUCAAUCAGAAUACAUAUAAUAUGCCUAUAUGAAUGGAUUUUUUUUAAGGGGAAUGGAAAGAAAUCCAUUAUUUUUUAUCUUAACACAUUGACAGCCGGUAACCUGAAAGACAUUUAAGGCCUGAGCGCCGGCCUUAUUCACUGAUCACUGAAUAGCACAGAAACCCGUGUUUUCGCGGGGCCGGCUGUUAAUGUAUUAACAAGAAGCUCUAUUAGUUCAUAUAAAUUUUUAAAUAAUCGUUCUUAUACUUUGAAAAAAUGUUGUAUAGGUUUUGAAUUGAAAAAGUCGUUGAGGUGAUUCUCUUAAUAUAAAUAAAAUAUAUAUCCUGUCCCUUUAAAAGAAUAAUAUAAAAUUAGUUAACAAUGCACCCAUCAUUUGUGAGUUUUUUAACAUUCAUUAAUGUUUAGAUCAAACAUAAUGCACUUCUUGAUUGUAUUAGAAAUCAGUUUAAGUUAUAUUACGCUCGACUAUAAUUAUUUGAAAGAUAUCAUUUUGCUGGCAUAAAAAAAUAAUAUUCAUUUUAAAACGCACGUUUUUGUCUUAUCGCUUAUAUUUUUUUUAAAUGCUUAACCCUUUCGCUACGAGCGUCGCCUAUAGACGGCGUCAUCUGCCUGACCUGAGACCCGCUCCGUACAGUGUCGCUACUCCGGCGGCACGGUGGUCCGUACAGCGGAGUCACUCCGACGGAGCACACUGCCGUAGCAAAAGGGUUAAUAAUCUUUGAAUUUUUCUUACAAAGACACUCCUCUUCUCAUUUUAUUAAAUAUAAAUAUAUAAAUAUAUAAAUAUAAAAUCGAUCAAUGCAAAGAACGUAGCGUUGUGUUUUUCAGGAGGGGAUUGUUUAGUGAUAAAUAAUAAGAUAUAUGGAUCAUGGGUACAGGUAUAAGCAAAAAAGAUUAGAAGAUGAAAUUCUUCCUAUGUAUUUUUUCCCAACAAUUUCUUUUUUAUUGCAAAUACUUGGUUUUUCCGUGAGAUUCACUGCGAAAUGUAAUAUUGAUAAAUAUUAAUGAAAAAUAUUUAUAAUAUUACAGCAUAUAUUUAUCGUUAGGUAGAAUGUAUGAA